Molecule: ribosomal RNA, 255 nt
Filed under: uncultured bacterium
Lineage: Bacteria
Description: partial 16S ribosomal RNA
Rfam family: Bacterial small subunit ribosomal RNA
Source: RNAcentral
UACGUAGGGUGCAAGCGUUGUCCGGAAUUAUUGGGCGUAAAGAGCUCGUAGGCGGUUUGUCGCGUCUGCUGUGAAAACCCGAGGCUCAACCUCGGGCCUGCAGUGGGUACGGGCGAGACUAGAGUGCAGUAGGGGAGACUGGAAUUCCUGGUGUAGCGGUGGAAUGCGCAGAUAUCAGGAGGAACACCGAUGGCGAAGGCAGGUCUCUGGGCCGUAACUGACGCUGAGGAGCGAAAGCAUGGGGGAGCGAACAGG